GUUCUAUUCUUGCUUUGUACUGCAGUUUUCCUCUUUUUCAUAAGUUUUGAGUAUUCUAUCUUUGCUGUAGAGAGUACUCUUGGUUUGUGUUUUACACUUACUAAGAUAGAGGUGUAGAACUGUCAGUGAUUGACGCAUAAAACGACAGAGCGCUUGCAGAUAUUGUUGCUGAAGUUGUGAUAUCUGGGAGGUAGAACCAUUAUGCUGCAGGGGCAGAUUACUUGUGUCUUAGCAGUCGUGUUGUUUGAAAUAAUGUUCCUAUGGUGUCAAGUUUAUCUUGUUGUGUGGAUACAGUUGUGUUGGGGGGUGUAUAAGAUGCUUUCAUGCAACUGUAGCAGCUGUUGAUGCUGAUUUAAAUAGUGAAUCACCAGUCCUUUCUAAGGCUGAACUAGUUGUAGGCUGUAUGCGGGGUUCCAUAUCUUUAUUUCAUCUUUUUAUUCUCUUACAGAGUUUUUGUUGUUCAAAGUUUUAUUAUGGUUUUGUGCAGGGGUGAAAAUUCUUUUGCCUGGACUAUUGAUAUAAAAAGCAGUGUUCUACGUGUGAACAAAUGGGCUUGGUAGGCUGAUCUGACGGUGAAAAAGUUGGUAUGUGUGUGCUGCCAAGAGAUAGAAUCUGGGAUUGAAGUGAAUGGUGGUGGGUUUGGCGGGAAGGAUGCAGGAAUUAUGAUUUUGAAAAUUCCCAAUGUUAUCAAAUGUCGCUUGCUUGAUCUUUGGUCUGAACAACAACUCUGCUGGCAUUAUGUGUUUUUGGAAAAGCUGCGGUCGAUGUAUCUGAUUGUGACAAGUAUUUAUCUGAUUUCUUAUCAACAAGUGACAAACCCAUUCUGAAUGCAGGUUCUUUAUGGACUUGAACAAGCUCACGCAUUAGAUUCAUUUACAGCAGAAUCAUCAUUACUUUGUGGAACUGAAUCCAGUUUAUGGCUCCAUUGUGCGGAUGGUACUAGUUCGGUAGUUAAUCCAUCAGAAAACAGAUCCUAGAAGAGAUGGUUCCAAAUACUUCAUUGGAGGCUUGACAUGGAAUUUUCCCCGGCCACAAGACAGAGGACCAAAUGGUCUUCUGGAUGGGUUCAGAGAACCCCUGCCUUUUCAGAUUUUGUGCCCACCUACAAAAGCAGUGAUAUAGAUAUAUUAUAUCGUCGAGAAAGCAAAGGAUGCUAACAUAAUCGGGAUCUUGGUCGGUACCUUGGUGUAGAUGGUUAUCUUCCGAAUAUGAUUAAUCAAAUGAAAGUAGUCACUGAUGGAGCAGGGAAGAAGACGUAUACUUCUUUUGGGAAAGCCAAACCCUGCAAAACUAGCCCCAAGGUAAAUAUUUUUGUCCAGACAUCCAAAACUGUUGCGGUGCUCAACUGCUUGAGAUGAUUACGGACAGGUUAUCUGACAAGAUUGCCUCAUUGUGGGCAGUUUGUUGUUUCUGUUUAUGUCUCUAUUUCCCAAACUGCAAUUUUGGAUAGCAAAGAUAUCUUUUCCCCAGUGGUUAAACCUUAUGAAGCCGUU
This is a long non-coding RNA of Papaver somniferum (opium poppy), 1493 nucleotides long. RefSeq lists it as uncharacterized. Lineage: Eukaryota; Viridiplantae; Streptophyta; Magnoliopsida; Ranunculales; Papaveraceae. The record is from RefSeq and is a predicted model, not a curated record. The transcript is spliced from 6 exons.